This 240-nucleotide long non-coding RNA is filed under the name Mytilus galloprovincialis (Mediterranean mussel). The record is from RNAcentral. Lineage: Eukaryota; Metazoa; Mollusca; Bivalvia; Mytilida; Mytilidae.
AGUACUGCUUAGGGUUUUCCUCAUGCAGUGUUUCUAUUUGCUUCAACAAAGACUGCUUGUACUCCCUGUAUUUGUGUUUCCGUGCCUUAGUAUAUAAGCGCUGUAGUUUAUAAAAGUGACCUUUAACAGCAGGAUCUCUGGGAAAUCGAGAAUAAAUUUUCCCAUAACUAAAUAGGUUUUUUCGCAAAUAUGCAAGAUUACAGUCAAACCACUUUUGGUGUUUAACCCCCUUACCCGUUU